AGUGCGUGUAAUUUAAAAAAAAUAUCAAGCCGUGACCCUGAUCAUAGGAACUUUACCCUCACGCACCC
RNAcentral lists this transfer RNA (68 nucleotides) under Sonora mutabilis (Mexican ground snake). RNAcentral describes it as "tRNA-His". Lineage: Eukaryota; Metazoa; Chordata; Lepidosauria; Squamata; Colubridae. The record is from RNAcentral.